RNAcentral lists this ribosomal RNA (253 nucleotides) under uncultured bacterium. RNAcentral describes it as "partial 16S ribosomal RNA". It matches the Rfam family "Bacterial small subunit ribosomal RNA", at positions 524 to 776 of the family's 1533-position model. The record is from RNAcentral.
UACGUAGGGGGCUAGCGUUGUCCGGAAUCAUUGGGCGUAAAGAGCGUGUAGGCGGUCCGGUAAGUCCGCUGCGAAAGUCGGGGGCUCAACCCUCGAAUGCCGGUGGAUACUGUCGGGCUAGAGUGCGGAAGAGGCGAGUGGAAUUCCUGGUGUAGCGGUGAAAUGCGCAGAUAUCAGGAGGAACACCUAUUGCGAAGGCAGCUCGCUGGGACGUUACUGACGCUGAGACGCGAAAGCGUGGGGAGCAAACAGG